RNAcentral lists this long non-coding RNA (311 nucleotides) under Elaeis guineensis (African oil palm). RNAcentral's name for it is "long non-coding RNA (EGUI_LNC058001)". Lineage: Eukaryota; Viridiplantae; Streptophyta; Magnoliopsida; Arecales; Arecaceae. The record is from RNAcentral.
CACACAAGUGGCUAGUGAGAUCUGCCAUCCUCUCUAUCGAGCAUACAUAGGAUGUGCCAGUCUAUCCGAAAUAUUGAUCCCCGACUUAAUAUUUCUACGACCAAAAAUAUCUAAGAUUAAGGUUUUAGAAUUUUAGGUCUCACUAGCAUGAUCCAUUCAUGUCUCCUAAAAUUAUUGUCCUAAUCUUUGAGGUUCAUCAUAAUCUUAGACAUAAUAAGAUACAGCUAAUAUGAUGAAUCAAUAUCUCAAAUAAUAAAUAUCAUUUCAUGAGUUAAAAAAUUAUAAAGAAAAGUUCCAUCGCGAUACACUUG